UACGGGGGGGGUAAGCGUUAUCCGGAAUUAUUGGGCGUAAAGAGCUCGUAGGCGGUUUGUCGCGUCUAUCAUGAAAGUCCGAGGCUCAACCUCGGAUCUGCGGUGGGUACGGGCAGACUAGAGUGAUGUAGGGGAGACUGGAAUUCCUGGUGUAGCGGUGAAAUGCGCAGAUAUCAGGAGGAACACCGAUGGCGAAGGCAGGUCUCUGGGCAUUAACUGACGCUGAGGAGCGAAAGCAUGGGGAGCGAACAGG
RNAcentral lists this ribosomal RNA (253 nucleotides) under uncultured bacterium. RNAcentral describes it as "partial 16S ribosomal RNA". It matches the Rfam family "Bacterial small subunit ribosomal RNA", at positions 524 to 776 of the family's 1533-position model. The record is from RNAcentral.